AACGAACGCUGGCGGCAGGCCUAACACAUGCAAGUCGAACGCUCCAGCAAUGGAGAGUGGCAGACGGGUGAGUAACGCGUGGGAACCUUCCCUAUGGUUCGGAAUAGCUCAGGGAAACUUGAGGUAAUACCGGAUAAGCCCUUCGGGGAAGGAUUUAUCGCCAUUGGAUGGGCCCGCGUAGGAUUAGCUAGUUGGUGAGGUAACGGCUCACCAAGGCGACGAUCCUUAGCUGGUCNGAGAGGAUGAUCAGCCACACUGGGACUGAGACACGGCCCAGACUCCUACGGGAGGCAGCAGUGGGGAAUAUUGGACAAUGGGCGCAAGCCUGAUCCAGCCAUGCCGCGUGAGUGACGAAGGCCUUAGGGUUGUAAAGCUCUUUUGGCGGGGAAGAUAAUGACGGUACCCGCAGAAUAAGCUCCGGCUAACUUCGUGCCAGCAGCCGCCG
This 445-nucleotide ribosomal RNA is filed under the name uncultured bacterium. RNAcentral describes it as "bacterial SSU rRNA". It matches the Rfam family "Bacterial small subunit ribosomal RNA", at positions 29 to 520 of the family's 1533-position model. The record is from RNAcentral.